UGCUAGUGAAUCCUUCAUUACUCUAAUCCUCUAUUAUAGUUAACAAUUCUUUUUAUUAAGCCUUCCCUGUCCCGGGAGUAGUCCCAAGAAAUAGACCUGCAAAGAUGGGAUUAAAGGUCAGUUUGAUUGAGGUUUUGAGCUUUAGCUCCUUGCCAAAGGGAAAUGUAAUUCAUGACAUGCUGGGCAUCUCAAUUAAGCAAUUACCUGUGGUUGAUCCUGAUGAAGUGCCAACUGAAGCCUGUGCCUUGGGGCCCCAAGUGGCUGCUACACUUGACUGCUAUGGUUAUAAAGAUGACUAGAAAGACUGGUGUGGGAUGGAUUCUUUUGCGUGCUUUUGAGUGGUUAUAAAGAGAAAUGACAAGCACAGGUUUUUUAACUCUCAGAGUUAUGGUAUGAGAACCAGAGAUAUUCUGCAGAAUUCCAAAAGCUCUGGUUUAUUGUAGCAACAAGAAUUAUGCUGAGAAUCAAACAAAAUUUUAAUUUUCAUGUUACUGAAUUAUAACUGCUAUUAAAUUCACACAUAUUCUG
This is a long non-coding RNA of Homo sapiens (human), 528 nucleotides long. Ensembl annotates it as MAN2A1 divergent transcript. Its record names the gene MAN2A1-DT. The record is from Ensembl. Lineage: Eukaryota; Metazoa; Chordata; Mammalia; Primates; Hominidae.